AUAUUAUAUGAGCCGUUUAUUUUGAAAGUGACCUAACUCCGUUUUUCAAUUUUUUACCGGUUACCAUGGUUACAAGUACAACUUCAGGUUAUUUAUCAGUGACGCAUUUCAGAUUGCUUAUAUUCAGAGAAAAUACGGUACAUUUUUUACACAUAAGUUUUCCGAAUUAAUUGAAUAACUAAGACGUGUAGUUUGAAAGUGGCCUAACUCCAUUUAUAGUUACAUCAGGAUAUUUACUAUUGAUAAUGUCGGAAAGCAGCGAUGAAGGUAAUUUCAAUUAAUUAGUAUUUACAAGUUCACCUCAUUUUUGGGACAAUUGCGUUAGUUAAUUAACCUGUACGUUUAAUUAAUAUAAAACUUAAAAUUUAAUAUUAAAUUAUAGAAAUUAUUGCACCCAUGAGGAAGAACUGGAGAAGACCACUUAGUUCAGAUAGUGAAGAAGAAAUAAGGAUGAAGAUUCAAAUAACAAUGGAGAAAAGAUAGAUGCACCAUAUAUCCAAAAAGUGCGAAAGAUUAAACGGAAUUCAGGAAAAA
Long non-coding RNA from Dalotia coriaria, 534 nucleotides. RefSeq lists it as uncharacterized. The transcript is spliced from 2 exons. The record is from RefSeq and is a predicted model, not a curated record. NCBI's taxonomy places the organism in Eukaryota, Metazoa, Arthropoda, Insecta, Coleoptera, Staphylinidae.